Corticium candelabrum is the source of this 191-nucleotide long non-coding RNA. RefSeq lists it as uncharacterized. The record is from RefSeq and is a predicted model, not a curated record. Lineage: Eukaryota; Metazoa; Porifera; Homoscleromorpha; Homosclerophorida; Plakinidae. The transcript has 3 exons.
AGAUAAUGCAAGAAAAGUUGAGCAACGUGACAAGUGAAUUGCGGCAUGCAAAAGACGAAAGAAUUACACUCAAGAGUUCGACCGUGGAAUUGCUCGAAGUGACCAUGCAGCUCCAACACAAUGAUGAACGUUUAAAUGAAAGCUCUAUGGCGAUAAAAGAAGAAGUAACGAGUCUCAAGGAUCUUAUACAG